RNAcentral lists this ribosomal RNA (255 nucleotides) under uncultured bacterium. RNAcentral describes it as "partial 16S ribosomal RNA". It matches the Rfam family "Bacterial small subunit ribosomal RNA", at positions 524 to 777 of the family's 1533-position model. The record is from RNAcentral.
UACGGAGGAUGCAAGCGUUAUCCGGAAUUAUUGGGCGUAAAGCGUCCGCAGGUGGCACUUCAAGUCUGCUGUCAAAGACCGGGGCUUAACCCUGGAAAGGCAGUGGAAACUGAAGCGCUAGAGUGUGGCAGGGGUAGAGGGAAUUCCCCGGUGUAGCGGUGAAAUGCGUAGAGAUCGGGAAGAACAUCGGUGGCGAAAGCGCUCUACUGGGCCAUAACUGACACUCAGGGACGAAAGCUAGGGGAGCGAACUGGG